UCAAGGCUAUACAGAGAAACCCUGUCUCGAAGAAAACCCAGAAAAACAAAACAAAACAAAGUCCUCCCACCAACCUUAGCAUCUCCACUUUGUCCCCAUCAUGACAAGCAAUCUCCACAGCCAGGUGACUGGAUUGAAUCACCUAAGAGCCUGUUAGAGUGGCUCACAACUGUAACCCCAGAAUUUGGAAGACAGAAGCAGGAAGUUUGCUUUAAGUUCGGGGCCAGCAUAAACUUCAUGUGAGUUCCAGCUAUGGACUCCAGUGAAAGCCAGUUUCAAAACAAAGCAAGGACAAACAAGAAAUAAUAAAAGCAGAAAUGCAAGCAAAAAAGAACUACCUAGGAAAUUAGUAUAGCACAUCUCUAGGUGUGGUGGGCGUAACUGUUUCCAAAGAGGAACGUGUAGGACAGUGACUUGGGGGAAAGACCUGUCCUGAAUGUGGGUAACCGCAUCCAACAGGCUGGGAGCUCCAUGGAAUAAACAAAGAAGAGAAAGCUGACCAGGUCCUUUAGACUCUAUUCUUCCUGAACAAGUGUGUCUGCUGCCCUCACCACCAUCUGUGAACAUAAGAUUCUAGCAUCUUCAGUCUCUCAGCACAGGUCCUCCAGAAACACCCAGAGGACAGCUUCUGCCUUCAGGUUUGCAACAGAUGUUUACGGACUGUGUUUGAGAACCGUAAUGUGUCAGCUGGUUCCCAACAAGGAAUGUGCAAGAUUGGCCCAAAGGAGGUCACAGCUCAAGUGGAAGGCACCAAAGUAAAUCAUUUGUCUCCAAGUGUGAAGUGCCCUGUAGGGCGGAGGCCAGUUCAGGGUUCCGGGGGAGCACCCGGGGAAGACCUCUGAACCAUGCCCCAGGGUUCAGGAAAUGCCUUCCGUGGUGGGUGAUAUGAAGGGUAAGGCAGGUUCAAAUCAGCACCAGGAAUUGUCCGUGAGUGUGGCAGAGACAGAGUCCACGUAGGGAAAAACUCAAAGAAAAGAAAAAACAGAUGUGAAAACUAUUACCAUGGACACGGAGAAGUGGGCGGGGCCUGCCAUAAAGAAGGGAUCCGUGGGGUCUAAGAGCCUGCGGGAAGCCACUGAGAGGGUCUACGCAGCAUUCACCUCGUCUACUCCACUCUCCGUGCUGAGUUCUACAGCCCAGGAAACUCCUUCUGCCAUCGUGACGGAGAAUGACUCAGGAAAGGGUACAGUCAUUACAGAGGAGGUAGUGGCAGGGGUCCAAGGAGACGACAGUGCCCGAAGCAAGGGAGUGAGAGGAAAUGAGAAAUGGGAAAUCAUAGGUCUUGGUGCAGAUCUUACAUGAAGUUCAAGGAGAAAGGAGGAGUCUGGGCUGAUGGACAGCCAGGCACACCCUGGUAUCAUGAGCCAUCAUUAGAGUAAGGAGGGCAAGUCUGUAGUGUGAACGGGGGCAAGGUCUUGACUGGAAGGCAGUAUUAAAUGAUUAUAGGUCAUCCGCUAAAGGAGAUGUCAUCCAGAGUAAUAAUGGCUGGAAACAGUUCAGAGAGGCACCAGGGAAGCCAAGGCUGAUGAUGUAGUCUAGGGAACAUUAGCAUGAAGAGACAGAAAUUUGAGCAGGGGAAUUAUCUCAGUAGGUAAUGUGCCUGCUGCACAUAUAUGAUGACCCGAGCUCAGAUUCCCAGCACCCAAGUAAAAGAGCCAGGGUAUUUUCAUGAGCCUGUAACCCUAACACAAGGAAUCUAGACAGAGAGAUCCCUGGCGCUUUCUGGCCAGCCAUCCUUGCCAAUCAGUUAGUGUCGGAAGACACCGGAUGUCUGCCUUUGACCUCCGUGUGUACAUAUGCCAUGUGUGCAUAUAUUACAUAUGUGUACACAACUUUUAAAAGAGAGACAGGAGUUUGCAAAAACCUCAGUGUGCCUCCUAUUCACAAUGCCAUACUUGAAGAAGGAAGUAACCGUAUGGCGGAGAAAGCCGGCAGACAACGUUCCUGAAUGAUUGGGGUCGUCACUAAGGAGCAGAGUGACAUCAAGAACCUCCUGACAGGGCUCACUGAGGCCACAGCAUUUCUGAAGUAUUUCCUCUCAAAACCCACAAUCUGUAUCUAAUCCUGGGCAGCCACAGACAAACCCACAGGGAAGGACAAUCCCUUAAUUUACUGCCCUGUGCUCUUCAAAACACCAAGGCCAGGAAGGACGGAGACUAAAGAACAAAUGUAACAGUGUAUUUCAGCCUAUGGUCCUAGAUAAGAUUCGGAGCCAAAACUGGAGCAACAAUGAAACCAAACAGCAACAACAAAACCUUCUUCUCUUCUUGCUAGCAUGGUGUCAUGCCUAUUAGUAAAAACUGAAAUAAAGUUUAUGCCUUAAACAAU
This is a long non-coding RNA of Mus musculus (house mouse), 2328 nucleotides long. RefSeq annotates it as predicted gene, 38794. The transcript is spliced from 2 exons. The record is from RefSeq and is a predicted model, not a curated record. NCBI's taxonomy places the organism in Eukaryota, Metazoa, Chordata, Mammalia, Rodentia, Muridae.